This 253-nucleotide ribosomal RNA is filed under the name uncultured bacterium. RNAcentral's name for it is "partial 16S ribosomal RNA". It matches the Rfam family "Bacterial small subunit ribosomal RNA", at positions 524 to 776 of the family's 1533-position model. The record is from RNAcentral.
UACGAAGGGGGCUAGCGUUGUUCGGAUUUACUGGGCGUAAAGCGCGUGUAGGCGGACUGUUAAGUUGGGGGUGAAAUCCCGAGGCUCAACCUCGGAACUGCCCUCAAAACUGGCGGUCUGGAGUAAAGGAGAGGCGAGUGGAAUUCCGAGUGUAGAGGUGAAAUUCGUAGAUAUUCGGAGGAACACCAGUGGCGAAGGCGGCUCGCUGGCCUUUUACUGACGCUGAGACGCGAAAGCGUGGGGAGCAAACAGG